UUCCCUUCCCCCAGGGUCAAUUAUGUUCUGAUAAAACCCCAGCAGGUUAGCCUCUAGUUAAACAGUUUCACCUGAGAGCAGACCUUGUUAAGAAGAACAAGGUGCUCUGGGGUUUUUAAAAAUGAUUCCUUUUCUCCUCCGCCUGCUGGAAGCACCAGGAGAUUUUUCGCAUGUUCACUGUGAACCCAGUAGAGCCCUAAGAUGUAAAUUCAUAAAAGUAUUGGGGCCAUCAGAUGACUAAGUCCUCUUGGAGUAUUUGCUCUUCACUGAGCUUCAUCAAUUGCAUUUCAGUCUUCCAACUCUGACAGUGGUUCCCAAGGAGGUUUUGGCUUGUGGGUCUCUGCUCAGGCAUUAUGAUACUCCCUGUGGUACACAGAUACUUCUACAACAGCACUUGAUGCCCCCCAGUACAUAGUUGGAUAUUGCAAUUUCAGGUCCUUCUGGCUCUGCUUUGUGGGACACCCCCUCAGCACAGCUUCAUGAAUGGUGCUAGGUCUGCACCCAGGAGCCCAACCAGUGAAACCCUGGUCUGUCGAAGUGGAGCAGUGAACUUCACCACGCAGCCACAGGGCCGGCCCCUGUAUGAAAUUUUCAAUGGACGUAUUUGACAAAGGACUUAUAUCUGAAAUAUGUUAAGCAUUCUUGCCACCAAUAAGAAAAUCACUGACUAUGCAAUAGAUAAUAUGGGCAAAUGAUUUGAAUUUAUAUAUUAUAAAAGAUGAUAUAAAAUGGUCAUUCAACUUAUGAAAAUAUGCUUAAAAUCAUUAGUCACCAGGAAAAUGCAAUUUAAAAUUACAUUGCAAUGCAAUUGCACAACCAAAAAGAAUGACUGAAAUGAAAAAUUGACACUACCAAAUAUUAGCAAAGAUAUGGUGCAAAUGGAAAUCUCUUACACUUCUGGUGUCAGUUUAAGUUGAAGCACCCAACCAAUUGGUUUGCACUAUCAUCUAGUGUUAAACAUACACACAUUUUAUGACUCAGCAAUUCCACUCCUAGGUAUUUACCUGAGAGAAAUGUGUACAUUAUUCAUUAAGGACUCGUGUAAGGGUGUUUUUAGCAGCACUUUGCAUGAUGGCCCCAAUUAAAAAAAACAAAAACAAAUGCCCAUUAAAUUUAGUAUACUGUGAUAUAUUCAUGUAAUGUAAUAUUAU
RNAcentral lists this long non-coding RNA (1151 nucleotides) under Equus caballus (horse). RNAcentral describes it as "lncRNA (ENSECAG00000052915.1)". The record is from RNAcentral. Lineage: Eukaryota; Metazoa; Chordata; Mammalia; Perissodactyla; Equidae.